Molecule: ribosomal RNA, 459 nt
Filed under: uncultured bacterium
Lineage: Bacteria
Description: partial 16S ribosomal RNA
Rfam family: Bacterial small subunit ribosomal RNA
Source: RNAcentral
CCUACGGGUGGCUGCAGUGAGGAAUAUUGGUCAAUGGCCGAGAGGCUGAACCAGCCAAGUCGCGUGAGGGAAGACGGCCCUACGGGUUGUAAACCUCUUUUGUCGGGGAGCAAAGCGAACCACGUGUGGUUCAUUGAGAGUACCCGACGAACAAGCAUCGGCUAACUCCGUGCCUGCAGCCGCGGUAAUACGGAGGAUGCGAGCGUUAUCCGGAUUUAUUGGGUUAAAGGGGGGCGCAGGCGGUGGUGCAAGUCAGCGGUCAAAUUGCGGGGCUCAACCCCGUACUGCCGUUGAAACUGCAUCCCUUGAGUGCGCGAGAAGUAUGCGGAAUGCGUGGUGUAGCGGUGAAAUGCAUAGAUAUCACGCAGAACUCCGAUUGCGAAGGCAGCAUACCGGAGCGCAACUGACGCUCAUGCACGAAAGCGUGGGUAUCGAACAGGAUUAGAUACCCUUGUAGUC